UGAGACACGGUCCAGACUCCUACGGAAGGCAGCAGUGGGGAAUUUUGGACAAUGGGGGCAACCUUGAUCCAGCCAUGCCGCGUGAGUGAAGAAGGCCUUCGGGUUGUAAAGCUCUUUCGGCCGGAAAGAAAUCGCAUGGGUUAAUACCCUGUGUGGAUGACGGUACCGGAAUAAGAAGCACCGGCUAACUACGUGCCAGCAGCCGCGGUAAUACGUAGGGUGCAAGCGUUAAUCGGAAUUACUGGGCGUAAAGCGUGCGCAGGCGGUUGUGCAAGACAGAUGUGAAAUCCCCGGGCUUAACCUGGGAACUGCAUUUGUGACUGCACGGCUAGAGUGUGUCAGAGGGGGGUAGAAUUCCACGUGUAGCAGUGAAAUGCGUAGAUAUGUGGAGGAAUACCGAUGGCGAAGGCAGCCCCCUGGGAUAACACUGACGCUCAUGCACGAAAGCGUGGGGAGCAAACAGGAUUAGAUACCCUGGUAGUCCACGCCCUAAACGAUGUCAACUAGUUGUCGGGUCUUAAUUGACUUGGUAACGCAGC
Molecule: ribosomal RNA, 539 nt
Filed under: uncultured bacterium
Lineage: Bacteria
Description: bacterial SSU rRNA
Rfam family: Bacterial small subunit ribosomal RNA
Source: RNAcentral